GGUGUUGGUUCACUAGGAAGGUGACACCCCAGAAUAAGCUACUUGGGAGGACUAUGAUUCUUUUGUAACUAGAUUCCCUGAUUUUAAAUUUUGAAAAACCUAGUGGAUAAGGUUUUACUUGAGGAAGGGUUAAUGUUAGGAUUCGUGAUUAGCUUAAUCACAAUCAGGAAUUAGUAGUGGAAGUAGACUUUUAUUAAGAGAAUAACUAGUUAAAUGUGUUUGCUGCCACCUGUCAAGUGAUGUAAGGGGACUAUAUGUACACACACUUUUGGUGUGAGAGCCAUAAGGGUCAUUUGAAUUAGAAAAUAUUAUUUCACAAAAACAAACAAGAGCUCCACUCUUCUUCUCUCUUCCUCCUUCUCCUCCAUUGUUACCCUUACUUGCAGUUGAGUAAGGAUUUGGAAUCGGGUCAUAACAGGGACCUCUUCACCGGCGCCGAGUAGUUCUGCUACAAGCACUAUGCCUCUCCGCCUCACGACCUCAUCUGGGUCGGUGAACUUUUCCUCUCCUCCUCUCAGCUUCGCGAACCUUCUGCCUCCUCUGGCUCUGUCCAGUACUGAUCCUGGUCCAAGUUAGAUCACUUCAUUUCUUAUACACCGCAAGUUGAGGACCAGAGCUUCCCAGAAGAACCGAUCAAUCCGCUGGCUGCGAACAGUGAAGGCACGUACAUUAUUAGCGAAGGCGCAUCAGGGAAUAUCUACUUGUGGGAGGUUAAUACUGGUAGACUGCUUAAGAAAUGGUAUGCUCACUACAGGUGUUAGUUGCUUGGUAUUUCGGGAUGAAUGCUCCCUGCUGAUUUCGAGGUCGGAGGAUGAAGGCAUUAAAGUUUGGUCUCUUACACGGUAACCACUUCUUAUCUUACAUUUUUGGAUCUUUAUAUUGUUUUUAAUUAUGCACUGAAAACGGUUAUAUCUCUAUGCGUUGAAUCUCACAGAUUAUUCAGUGAUUAUCAAAGUCAACAAGAAAGCCAUUUGUACAUUCAUAACUUUACGGAGCACACUCUUUGUCUAACGGAUGCGGUUGCAGGAUAUGGUGGAGGCAACCAUUAUCGUGCCAGCAUCUCAGGAUCACACGUGUAAGUUAUCACAUGUUCUUUAGUAAAUUGUAAACAGUGUUUGGUAUAAUAUAUAAUAAUGUUAUGUAGCAAAUCAUGAACUAAACAAUGAUGACAAAGUUAUCAUGAGCUGAACAAUGAUGACAAAGUUAAUUCAAAUGGGGUCUGAGGGUAUUACAAGAACAAUUUCACCC
This is a long non-coding RNA of Pyrus x bretschneideri (Chinese white pear), 1248 nucleotides long. RefSeq lists it as uncharacterized. The transcript is spliced from 3 exons. The record is from RefSeq and is a predicted model, not a curated record. NCBI's taxonomy places the organism in Eukaryota, Viridiplantae, Streptophyta, Magnoliopsida, Rosales, Rosaceae.